Molecule: ribosomal RNA, 468 nt
Filed under: uncultured bacterium
Lineage: Bacteria
Description: partial 16S ribosomal RNA
Rfam family: Bacterial small subunit ribosomal RNA
Source: RNAcentral
GACGAACGCUGGCGGCGUGCUUAACACAUGCAAGUCGAACGGACAGGCCCUGCUUUUGUGGCGUUCUCGUGUGGCGAACGGGUGAGUAAAACGUGUGUAACCUCCCCUUGACUUUGGGAUAACUUCACGAAACUGGGGCGCAUACCGGAUAGGAGCUACUGCUCCAUGGUGGUGGUUGGAAAGUUUCGGCGGUUGGGGAUGGAUUCGCGGCUUAUGAGCUUGUUGGUGGGGUAGGUGCUUUCCAGGCCUGUGAAGGGUAGCCGGCCUGGGAGGGUGACCGGCGACAUGGGGCCUGAGAUACGGACCAGAAUGGUACGGUAGGCAGUAGUGGGGAAUAUGGCGCAAUGGGGGGAAGCCUGAUGCAGCGACGCCGCGAGCGGAAAGACGGCCUUCGGGUGGUGAACCGCUUUGGCCUGAGACAAAGCGUGAGUGACGGUAAUGGGUAAAGAAGCACCGGCUAACUACGUG